Molecule: long non-coding RNA, 1129 nt
Filed under: Zonotrichia albicollis (white-throated sparrow)
Lineage: Eukaryota; Metazoa; Chordata; Aves; Passeriformes; Passerellidae
Description: lncRNA (ENSZALG00000007344.1)
Source: RNAcentral
AUGAUGAGGCAGGAAGCAAGCUACAUCUUGGAGAAAUUGCCCUCAGGAGAGAGGAAAAACUAUUGCGAGGUUGACAGCACAACCUUGUACCGGCACAGUUUCCCUUCCCCAGUGGUUCAAGGAGUUCCAAGCACCCUCCUGUAAAUCAUCAGCUCACAUCUAUUUAUUAUCUUCCAGCCCAGUGCACAACACUAUCUGUUACACACGGAUACCAGCAAUAUUGCAAGGUGGACUCAAGGGAUAAAAGACAGCAAACCCUGCACACCUCCUAUGCCUGAGUCACACCCACUAUAAAGCCAGGCUCUGUUCAUAAAGUGCAUGCUGUUGUCAGAAAUGAAACAAUAUGAACUGUUCCAGUUCAGAGUAGAGUUUAUGUAGUGUUUCUCCAAUAUGCUUGAUCUUAUCAUCUUGAUAGCUUUGUGUUAUUAUACAGAGACAAAAUUUAUCUACAUAGUAAUGGACAAAAUGUCUAUGAAAAUACUGCUAUUCAUUUAGUGAUUGUUGUUAUAUUUGGACUAGGCGCCAGCCUCACUCUGUGAUGCUUGUCCUGGAAUAUCAAUAAAUAAAUCAUAAAAGCCAAUGCUUCAAAUAUUGAAAAAUUCGCACUUCAAACUGUGUUUUGAACUAUACUGAGAGCAAUGCCUCAGAUUGUCCUUUUGCUUUAUAUGAACAGAGGAAAUUCAAAGUAGGAGGAAGUCUCUCCCGGGAUUUGGCAUAGGGGAGUGCCACAAACCAUCAGCCUUCCUGUCUCUGCUGUGCCAACGAAGCCUCUCCUGGGAUGUACCACAAGAAGCAGACAGUGUGUCUGGGGAGUUAAUGUGGCUUCAGAUGAAAUUAUCUCCUGCAGAAUCCAUCUUGCCUGUUGUGUGAGUGCAUGCAAAGGAGACAGGCAGUGGUGAGGAGCCAGGCCACAGCCGGGCAGGUGAAGCCUCAGAGAAAAGUAGAAGCAUCUUCCUACGACUCUGUGAAGUUCUUUGCACCACAGACUUGUGCUGCUGGUGAAAAUGGGACAUCACGCCUCUUUUUUCUCCUUCUGUCUGGAGCCCAAAUUUGUUCUUUAUAGCAAAAAAUACUUGGUGUGAAAUCUUGUUUCUACAAGGGUCAGUGAUAAAAUCUGCAUCAGUGACAG